UUGCCUCCAUUGGAGUGAAUUCGUUCUGAUCGGUGAAUCUGAACGUAGUGUUUACAUGAACGCUAUAUAAAGUGAUCGGGUUUAUAAGCGCGUUUGUCACGAGCUUCUGAUCAGAUUUACUCUUUUGACCUGCGCACACUGCAUGAACACAGUUUCCCGCUGUUGUCACAUGCUGUCUUAAAAAGCACGUGUGAUAUUUAUCUACUUCUGGUUCUAGUUAGACGACGAUAAGCACAUGAACUGUUGUGCAGUGCUGCUAAAAAUCCUCCGCCCCUGACUCUCGCUGACCGCCAUCAGCACAUGUGACAUUACUUCAUUACUUGAAUUAUGUUUUUGUUUGGUGCUGUAUUGAGCAGUUGUAAAUGUGUUUGUAUGUGAAUGUUUGUCUCGUCUGUUCGUGCUGCACUUUGAAAUGUCUGUUAUAGUUUGUAAUAAAUCCAUUAGUUUUCUCUUAAAGGAACGUCUGGUUUCUCUUCUUGUGUGCUGUUAAUGACAGACGGAGUCUAAUGCAGAGGAAGCAGUAGAUGCUCCUAACCCGUCAUCAUCAGGUGUUUCCUGCUGUUCUCAGAUCAGUCACUGGGUGGCAGUCAUCACACACUUCUGGGACUCACAAAAACUACAAACAUGAAGAAGCUGAAAUAUAAGGAAAUAUAAAAAUACAAUUCUAUUCUAGUGACAUCUGUGUGGUUUAUAUGAUCCUAAUGUUCUGAUGGGAUUGAGAGCGGUGACCAACUCCUUCAGUCCAGCAUCGGAGCGCUGUGGAGCAGGUGUCUCAGAGGAUCUGGACGUGGUCAGGAGCACUGAUGGAGUCCAGAUUCAGAGUCCUGUGAAGAACCAACUGAAACUAAUACAUCAACGGGGAAAUAAGUUUAAUGUUGCAUCAGUUAAACAGUUUAAACACUGGAAGAUAAGAGUGCACUGUUCAGGCCAGGUGAGGUCUGUGCUGUCAGAUACAUGUGGAUCCGAAUGAAAAGGUCAAAGGUCACAGAACUGAUGAGGGCAGGAGGUUUCACAACACUUUCAGCUGCAGUGGCACAAGUUACACAUCAGGUCCAGAGGAAACAGGUGUGUGUGUGUGUGUGUGUGCUCGGCCACCUGGAGGACAAACACAUCUCAGGGUGACAGGUCUGUCCGAGCGGAAAACACAAACACACAAUAACCUUGUAAAGCAGGAAAGGAUUUCAAACUUGUAAUUAAUAAGUUCACGCAUCUUUAACUCUGUCUUUAUUCAUGAGCAUCUGCCUCCUCUGACCCUCGGAGCCGAUGGAGUUAUUGCAUAUUAAACAGCUGCAAUCAGACCGUUGCUCAUUUCUCAGACUGCGGAGGAAGUAGAAAUACAUCUGAAGAAAGUGAACGCUGGACUUCCUGUUGACUUUCUCUGUCUGAAGAUGAUCUCCUCUCCGCUUGGACAUGACACACAGCCGGACGAGCCCGGAGCGUGGUGAUCAUCAUCAAUAACGGACUCACAGUGAGGACAUUUGUUCACACACACACACACACACUCAUUUGCCCUGUGGAGACACAGUUAAACACUCAGAAUGAUGAAGCAGUUUGUUCUGUCUGGCCAAAAUAUAUUUUAAAUAUGCUAAUAUAUAUGUUGUAAACAGUGAAGUUUUUUUUUUUUUUAACUGAAAAUAUAUUUAGUUGCAACCUUAAUAAAUCAAAUAUAUUUUAAAAUACAUUUCAGGGACAAGAAAAUACAUUUCCAAUCCUACAGUAGCCUACGUUUAAUGUAGACUUCUAGCUCACCAGAGAUUAUAAUGUUUUAUAUUUAUUUUUAGCAUGUUCCUUGUUGAUUUUUAUUCAGUUAUGUGAUUAUUGUGUUCUAUGUACACACGUAUUGUAAAAAAACGUCUUUUUUCAAAUGUGGCAUUUGUGAAUGUAUAUGUAUUUUAAAUUGCUCUUAAAAAUAUAUUUAAAUAUUUCAAUUAUAUAUAUUCAUACAGUAUAUAUGUAUGUAUAACAGCUGAUGAUUUCGCCACAUUCUUCACAGACAGACCACAACGAUCAGUAGUCAGUUCUCAUCUCCACACACACUGCUAAAACUCCCAUCCUUUCCUUUUGUCCCCUCACUGAAGCAGAGGUAUCCAAACUUCUCCUCUCCAGCCAUCCUACAACAUCUAGACACAAUCCCCUCACAUCUCCUCCAAGCAAUCUCUCCUAGUCUUUUACUAGCACUCACACACACAUCAUCAACACAUCUCUCCUCACAGACACCUGUGUACAUUAAACACAUCACUUACAGAUAGCUGCAGACCUGUGUCUCUCAGGUCUUUCAGGGUGGCUUGGUAUCCAAAGCCAACAACUUGUCACUGGGGUUCCUCAGGGAUCAGUUCUGGGACCCCUCCUCUUCUUCUUCUCCAUAUAAACGACAUCACUGGGUCCCAUCAUACAGGCACAUGGCUUCUCCUACCAUUGUUAUACUGAUGACACACAGCUCUAUCCUUCAUUUCAACCAGAUGAUCUAACGGUAGCUGCACAGAUCUCAGGCUGCCUGGUGGACAUCUCGGCAUGGAUGAAAGAAUAUCACUUACAGCUCAACCUGGCAAAGACUGAGCUUCUUGUCUUCCAUGCCACUCCAGCUCUACAGCAUGAUUUCUCCAUACAGCUAGGAUCUUCUACAAUUACCCCAUCAACUUCGGUCAGAAAUCUUGGUGUUAUAUUUGAUGCAAUUGCUAUUGCAAUAACAUUGCAAAGACUGCUUGAUCUUGCAUCACACAUGAACUCUUGAUAAGCACGAGUAGGAUGCUUUCAGAAUCAAAGUCAUUCUUUCAGGUGUUUUCUAGAAGUCGUGAUCUGUGCUAAUUAUAGAGUCGUGAUGUUAAAAGACUAAUUUGGCACGGGCUCCCUAGAGAUUCCCCUCUGGGCUUUAUAGCACACGUCCAUCACGUAGAGUGUUUGAUGUCUGCAUUUAUAUUUUCAAGUAUUUUUUUAAAAGAGUGUUUGCUCAUGUGCAAUACAUAAAAAAGGAUGUUUCCUAUCAGUUGUUAAAUAGACUUCUAUUGUCAGUUCUUCCACAUGUACAGCACAUACAUACAAAUAAUUGAAAUUGCAUUACUCAGACCCUUGGUGCAUACAGAUAAGACUAACAGUAGAGCAUAAAAAUAAAGAUAGAUAUAGAUUAAAUAUUAAAUACAACUAUACAAAUAAGCGCAUGUAAAAAAAAAAAAAAAAAGUUAAAUAAAUGAAGUUAAGUAAAGCAACACAUGGCAGAUAGUGCAAACCAGUGAAGGGGUAAGUUCAUCCAAAAAUGAAAAUUAUGUCAUUAAUAACUCACCCUCAUGUCGUUCCAAACCUGUGAAACCUCCGUUUAUCUUCUGAACACAGUUUAAGAUAUUUUAGAUUUAGUCCGAGAGCUCUCAGUCCCUCCAUUGAAGCUGUGUGUACGGUCUACUGUCCAUGUCCAGAAAGGUAAGAAACACAUCAUCAAAGUAGUCCAUGUGACAUCAGGGGGUCUGUUAGAGAUUGUUGAAGCAUCGAAAAUACAUUUUGGUCCAAAAAUAGCAAAAACGACGACUUUAUUCAGCAUUGUCUUCUCUUCCAGGUCUGUUGUGAGCGCUGCUGAUUUGUUAUCUUUGUUAUUGGGAGCACCAGAAAACACGUCAGCAGCGUCACUGCAGUGUUGUGAACUGAGCUGUCCAAGCACAUUAAUAGAGAGGCGAAGGGAAGGAAAAGAUGUGGUAGAAAAAAGUGUACAAGCAAUAGAGAUAACCGCACCCUGGAGAGGAUUGUGAAACAAAACCCAUUCAGAAAUGUGGGGGAGAUUCACAAAGAGUGGACUGCAGCUGGAGUCAGUGCUUCAAGAACCACUUUUCAUGUUCAUAAUUUUUAGUUGGCAAAGACUUCUAAAAAUCCUUUCUUUGUAUUGGUCUUAACUUAUAUUCUAAUUUUCUGAGAUACUGAAUUUGGGAUUUUCCUUAGUUGUCAGUUAUAAUCAUCAAAAUUACAAGAAAUAAACAUUUGAAAUAUAUCAGUCUGUGUGUAAUGAAUGAGUAUAACAUAGAAGUUUCACUUUUUUAAUGGAAUUAGUGAAAUAAAUAAACUUUUUGAUGAUAUUCUAAUUAUAUGACCAGCACCUGUGUGUGCAUUUAACUUUUCCGGCCUCGAAUUGCAACCUGUUCCAACUUUUUGGAAUGUGUAGCUUUCAUGAAAUCCAGAAUGAGCCAAUAUUUGGCAUGGCAUUUAAAAAUGUCUCAUUUCAACAUUUGAUAUGUUAUCUAUAUUAUAUUGUGAAUAAAAUAUAAGUUUAUGAGAUUUGUAAAUUAUUCUAUUCCUUUUUUACUCACAAUUUGUACAGUGUCCCAACUUUUUGAAAUCGGGUUUGUAUAUACAGUAGUUGAGUAUAAUAAUCAUAACAGUGGAAACUAAUCCCAUAUUAUCUUAUAAAAUUACUGAGGGGCAACAUGUAUAUUGAAAAUAGCAGAGGACCUAGGACAGAUCCUUGUGGCACUCCAUAUUUUACUGGUGAUAAAUGAGUGACUGCCCAUUUAAAUAAACAAAAUGGUAGCGACCGGACAGUUAGGAUCUAAACCAUCUUAGAGCCUGCCCUUGAAUACCUGUAUAGUUUUGUAAUUGAUCUAUGAGUAUGUCAUGAUCUAUGGUGUCGAACGCAGCACUAAGAUCUAAGCGAUACUGUUUUUCCAUGCAAUUAAAAAAACGUGUGUGUACAUAUAUAUAUAUAUAUAUAUAUAUAUAUAUAUAUAUAUAUAUA
Molecule: long non-coding RNA, 4711 nt
Filed under: Carassius auratus (goldfish)
Lineage: Eukaryota; Metazoa; Chordata; Actinopteri; Cypriniformes; Cyprinidae
Description: lncRNA (ENSCARG00000032965.1)
Source: RNAcentral